Molecule: small nuclear RNA, 132 nt
Filed under: Rhodnius prolixus
Lineage: Eukaryota; Metazoa; Arthropoda; Insecta; Hemiptera; Reduviidae
Description: U4 spliceosomal RNA
Rfam family: U4 spliceosomal RNA
About the family: U4 small nuclear RNA (U4 snRNA) is a component of the major U2-dependent spliceosome. The structure of U4 snRNA from yeast and human has been reported.
Source: Rfam by way of RNAcentral
AACCUUGCGCAGUGGCAAUAUCAUAAACCAAUGAAGGUCUCCUGAUGUGCGAUUAUUGCUAGUUGAAAACUUUUAAAAAUGAAUUGUUUACACUGGCAAACCGUUUUCAUUUUUUUUUAUUGCAGCCUUCAA